GAUGAACGCUGGCGGCGUGCCUAAUACAUGCAAGUCGAGCGAACGGACGAGAAGCUUGCUUCUCUGAUGUUAGCGGCGGACGGGUGAGUAACACGUGGAUACCCUACCUAUAAGACUGGGAUAACUUCGGGACACCGGAGCUAAUACCGUAUAAUCUUUUGAACCGCAUGGUUCAAUAGUGAAAGACGGUCUUUCUGUCACUUAUAGAUGGAUCCGCGCUUCAUUAGCUAGUUGGUAAGGUAACGGCUUACCAAGGCAACGAUGCAUAGCCGACCUGAGAGGGGGAUAGGCGACAUGGGAACUGAGACACGGUCAAGACUCCUAAGGGAGGCAGCAGUAGGGAAUGUUCCGCAGUGGGCGAAAGCAUGACGGAGUAACGCCGAGUGAGAGAUGAAGGUCUUCGGAUCGUAAAAAUCUGUUAUUAGGGAAGAACAGAUGUGGAAGUAACUGUGCACAGCGUGACGGUACCUAAUCAGAAAGCAACGGCUAACUACGUG
RNAcentral lists this ribosomal RNA (497 nucleotides) under uncultured bacterium. RNAcentral describes it as "partial 16S ribosomal RNA". It matches the Rfam family "Bacterial small subunit ribosomal RNA", at positions 28 to 507 of the family's 1533-position model. The record is from RNAcentral.